AAGACCUUGCACUUUUGGAGCGGCCGAUGUCUGAUUAGCUAGUUGGUGGGGUAAUGGCCUACCAAAGCUUCGAUCAGUAGCUGGUCUGAGAGGACGGCCAGCCACACUGGGACUGAGACACGGCCCAGACUCCUACGGGAGGCAGCAGUGGGGAAUUUUGGACAAUGGGCGCAAGCCUGAUCCAGCCAUGCCGCGUGAGUGAAGAAGGCCUUCGGGUUGUAAAGCUCUUUCAGCCGGGAAGAAAAGGUUGCGACUAAUAAUCGCAAUCCAUGACGGUACCGAAAGAAGAAGCACCGGCUAACUACGUGCCAGCAGCCGCGGUAAUACGUAGGGUGCGAGCGUUAAUCGGAAUUACUGGGCGUAAAGGGUGCGCAGGCGGUUUUGUAAGUCAGAUGUGAAAUCCCCGGGCUCAACCUGGGAACU
RNAcentral lists this ribosomal RNA (423 nucleotides) under uncultured bacterium. RNAcentral's name for it is "bacterial SSU rRNA". It matches the Rfam family "Bacterial small subunit ribosomal RNA", at positions 207 to 622 of the family's 1533-position model. The record is from RNAcentral.